Molecule: ribosomal RNA, 2933 nt
Filed under: Enterobacter cloacae
Lineage: Bacteria; Pseudomonadati; Pseudomonadota; Gammaproteobacteria; Enterobacterales; Enterobacteriaceae
Description: 23S ribosomal RNA
Rfam family: Bacterial large subunit ribosomal RNA
Source: RNAcentral
GGGUUGUGAGGUUAAGCGACUAAGCGUACACGGUGGAUGCCCUGGCAGUCAGAGGCGAUGAAGGACGUGCUAAUCUGCGAAAAGCGCCGGCGAGGUGAUAUGAACCUUUGACCCGGCGAUGUCCGAAUGGGGAAACCCAGUGUGAUUCGUCACACUAUCGUUAACUGAAUACAUAGGUUAACGAGGCGAACCGGGGGAACUGAAACAUCUAAGUACCCCGAGGAAAAGAAAUCAACCGAGAUUCCCCCAGUAGCGGCGAGCGAACGGGGAGCAGCCCAGAGUCUGAAUCAGCUUGUGUGUUAGUGGAAGCGUCUGGAAAGUCGCACGGUACAGGGUGACAGUCCCGUACACGAAAGCACACAGGUUGUGAACUCGAAGAGUAGGGCGGGACACGUGGUAUCCUGUCUGAAUAUGGGGGGACCAUCCUCCAAGGCUAAAUACUCCUGACUGACCGAUAGUGAACCAGUACCGUGAGGGAAAGGCGAAAAGAACCCCGGCGAGGGGAGUGAAAAAGAACCUGAAACCGUGUACGUACAAGCAGUGGGAGCACCUUCGUGGUGUGACUGCGUACCUUUUGUAUAAUGGGUCAGCGACUUAUAUUCUGUAGCAAGGUUAACCGUAUAGGGGAGCCGAAGGGAAACCGAGUCUUAACUGGGCGUUAAGUUGCAGGGUAUAGACCCGAAACCCGGUGAUCUAGCCAUGGGCAGGUUGAAGGUUGGGUAACACUAACUGGAGGACCGAACCGACUAAUGUUGAAAAAUUAGCGGAUGACUUGUGGCUGGGGGUGAAAGGCCAAUCAAACCGGGAGAUAGCUGGUUCUCCCCGAAAGCUAUUUAGGUAGCGCCUCGUGAACUCAUCUUCGGGGGUAGAGCACUGUUUCGGCUAGGGGGCCAUCCCGGCUUACCAACCCGAUGCAAACUACGAAUACCGAAGAAUGUUAUCACGGGAGACACACGGCGGGUGCUAACGUCCGUCGUGAAGAGGGAAACAACCCAGACCGCCAGCUAAGGUCCCAAAGUCAUGGUUAAGUGGGAAACGAUGUGGGAAGGCACAGACAGCCAGGAUGUUGGCUUAGAAGCAGCCAUCAUUUAAAGAAAGCGUAAUAGCUCACUGGUCGAGUCGGCCUGCGCGGAAGAUGUAACGGGGCUAAACCAUGCACCGAAGCUGCGGCAGCGACGCUUAUGCGUUGUUGGGUAGGGGAGCGUUCUGUAAGCCGUUGAAGGUGUGCUGUGAGGCAUGCUGGAGGUAUCAGAAGUGCGAAUGCUGACAUAAGUAACGAUAAAGCGGGUGAAAAGCCCGCUCGCCGGAAGACCAAGGGUUCCUGUCCAACGUUAAUCGGGGCAGGGUGAGUCGACCCCUAAGGCGAGGCCGAAAGGCGUAGUCGAUGGGAAACAGGUUAAUAUUCCUGUACUUGGUGUUACUGCGAAGGGGGGACGGAGAAGGCUAUGUUAGCCGGGCGACGGUUGUCCCGGUUUAAGCAUGUAGGCGGAACGAUUAGGUAAAUCCGGUCGUUUUUUAACGCUGAGGUGUGAUGACGAGGCACUACGGUGCUGAAGUAACAAAUGCCCUGCUUCCAGGAAAAGCCUCUAAGCAUCAGGUAACAUCAAAUCGUACCCCAAACCGACACAGGUGGUCAGGUAGAGAAUACCAAGGCGCUUGAGAGAACUCGGGUGAAGGAACUAGGCAAAAUGGUGCCGUAACUUCGGGAGAAGGCACGCUGAUAUGUAGGUGAAGCCCCUGCGGGUGGAGCUGAAAUCAGUCGAAGAUACCAGCUGGCUGCAACUGUUUAUUAAAAACACAGCACUGUGCAAACACGAAAGUGGACGUAUACGGUGUGACGCCUGCCCGGUGCCGGAAGGUUAAUUGAUGGGGUUAGCGGUAACGCGAAGCUCUUGAUCGAAGCCCCGGUAAACGGCGGCCGUAACUAUAACGGUCCUAAGGUAGCGAAAUUCCUUGUCGGGUAAGUUCCGACCUGCACGAAUGGCGUAAUGAUGGCCAGGCUGUCUCCACCCGAGACUCAGUGAAAUUGAACUCGCUGUGAAGAUGCAGUGUACCCGCGGCAAGACGGAAAGACCCCGUGAACCUUUACUAUAGCUUGACACUGAACACUGGUCCUUGAUGUGUAGGAUAGGUGGGAGGCUUUGAAGUGUGGACGCCAGUCUGCAUGGAGCCGUCCUUGAAAUACCACCCUUUAAUGGCUGGUGUUCUAACGUAGACCCGUGAUCCGGGUUGCGGACAGUGUCUGGUGGGUAGUUUGACUGGGGCGGUCUCCUCCCAAAGAGUAACGGAGGAGCACGAAGGUUAGCUAAUCCUGGUCGGACAUCAGGAGGUUAGUGCAAUGGCAUAAGCUAGCUUGACUGCGAGAGUGACGGCUCGAGCAGGUGCGAAAGCAGGUCAUAGUGAUCCGGUGGUUCUGAAUGGAAGGGCCAUCGCUCAACGGAUAAAAGGUACUCCGGGGAUAACAGGCUGAUACCGCCCAAGAGUUCAUAUCGACGGCGGUGUUUGGCACCUCGAUGUCGGCUCAUCACAUCCUGGGGCUGAAGUAGGUCCCAAGGGUAUGGCUGUUCGCCAUUUAAAGUGGUACGCGAGCUGGGUUUAGAACGUCGUGAGACAGUUCGGUCCCUAUCUGCCGUGGGCGCUGGAGAAUUGAGGGGGGCUGCUCCUAGUACGAGAGGACCGGAGUGGACGCAUCACUGGUGUUCGGGUUGUCAUGCCAAUGGCACUGCCCGGUAGCUAAAUGCGGAAAAGAUAAGUGCUGAAAGCAUCUAAGCACGAAACUUGCCCCGAGAUGAGUUCUCCCUGAGACUUUAAGUCUCCUGAAGGAACGUUGAAGACGACGACGUUGAUAGGUCGGGUGUGUAAGCGCAGCGAUGCGUUGAGCUAACCGAUACUAAUGAACCGUGAGGCUUAACCUUACAACGCCGAAGGUGUUU